UACGGGGGGGGGCAAGCGUUGUUCGGAAUUACUGGGCGUAAAGGGCGCGUAGGCGGCUUGGCAAGUGGAUGGUGAAAUCCCUCGGCUUAACCGAGGAACUGCCGUCCAAACUGCUUAGCUUGAGACCGGGAGAGGUGAGUGGAAUUCCCAGUGUAGCGGUGAAAUGCGUAGAUAUCUGGAGGAAUACCGGUGGCGAAGGCGGCAUCCUGGACCGAGAUUGACGCUGAGGAGCGAAAGCUAGGGGAGCAAACGGGG
Molecule: ribosomal RNA, 255 nt
Filed under: uncultured bacterium
Lineage: Bacteria
Description: partial 16S ribosomal RNA
Rfam family: Bacterial small subunit ribosomal RNA
Source: RNAcentral